UAGAGUUUGAUCCUGGCUCAGGAUGAACGCUAGCGACAGGCUUAACACAUGCAAGUCGAGGGGCAGCGGGGAGGUAGCAAUACUUCCGCCGGCGACCGGCGCACGGGUGAGUAACACGUAUGGAACCUGCCCGUAGCAGGGGGAUAAACGGAAGAAAUUCCGUCUAAUACCGCGUAAUAACUCCGAGAGGCAUCUCAUGGAGUUUAAAGGGCAACACCGGCUACGGAUGGCCAUGCGGCGCAUUAGCUAGUUGGCGGGGUAACGGCCCACCAAGGCGACGAUGCGUAGGGGUUCUGAGAGGAAGGUCCCCCACACUGGUACUGAGACACGGACCAGACUCCUACGGGAGGCAGCAGUGAGGAAUAUUGGUCAAUGGGCGCGAGCCUGAACCAGCCAAGUCGCGUGAGGGAAGACGGUCCUAUGGAUUGUAAACCUCUUUUGUCGGGGAGCAAAAGACGCCACGCGUGGCGUUCCGAGAGUACCCGAAGAAAAAGCAUCGGCUAACUCCGUGCCAGCAGCCGCGGUAAUACGGAGGAUGCGAGCGUUAUCCGGAUUUAUUGGGUUUAAAGGGUGCGCAGGCGGAAGAUCAAGUCAGCGGUAAAAUUGAGAGGCUCAACCUCUUCGAGCCGUUGAAACUGGUUUUCUUGAGUGAGCGAGAAGUAUGCGGAAUGCGUGGUGUAGCGGUGAAAUGCAUAGAUAUCACGCAGAACUCCGAUUGCGAAGGCAGCAUACCGGCGCUCAACUGACGCUCAUGCACGAAAGUGUGGGUAUCGAACAGGAUUAGAUACCCUGGUAGUCCACACAGUAAACGAUGAAUACUAAUUGUUCGGGGAGAAUGAUCCCUGAGUGAUACAGCGAAAGCGUUAAGUAUUCCACCUGGGGAGUACGCCGGCAACGGUGAAACUCAAAGGAAUUGACGGGGGCCCGCACAAGCGGAGGAACAUGUGGUUUAAUUCGAUGAUACGCGAGGAACCUUACCCGGGCUCAAACGACACAGGAAUACUUUUGAAAGGAAGUAGCUCUACGGAGCCUGUGUCGAGGUGCUGCAUGGUUGUCGUCAGCUCGUGCCGUGAGGUGUCGGCUUAAGUGCCAUAACGAGCGCAACCCCCAUCGCCAGUUACCAGCAAGUCAAGUUGGGGACUCUGGCGAGACUGCCGGCGCAAGCUGUGAGGAAGGCGGGGAUGACGUCAAAUCAGCACGGCCCUUACGUCCGGGGCGACACACGUGUUACAAUGGCAGGUACAGAGAGAAGCAAUGCGGCGACGCAAAGCGGAACUUGAAAGCCUGUCUCAGUUCGGAUUGGAGUCUGCAACUCGACUCCAUGAAGCUGGAUUCGCUAGUAAUCGCGCAUCAGCCAUGGCGCGGUGAAUACGUUCCCGGGCCUUGUACACACCGCCCGUCAAGCCAUGGAAGCCGGGAGUGCCUGAAGUGUGCAACCGCAAGGAGCGCCCUAAGGUAAAACUGGUGACUGGGGCUAAGUCGUAACAAGGUAACCGUA
Molecule: ribosomal RNA, 1498 nt
Filed under: uncultured bacterium
Lineage: Bacteria
Description: 16S ribosomal RNA
Rfam family: Bacterial small subunit ribosomal RNA
Source: RNAcentral